UCAUCUCCGGGGGUAGAGCACUGUUUCGGCAAGGGGGUCAUCCCGACUUACCAACCCGAUGCAAACUGCGAAUACCGGAGAAUGUUAUCACGGGAGACACACGGCGGGUGCUAACGUCCGUCGUGAAGAGGGAAACAACCCAGACCGCCAGCUAAGGUCCCAAAGUCAUGGUUAAGUGGGAAACGAUGUGGGAAGGCCCAGACAGCCAGGAUGUUGGCUUAGAAGCAGCCAUCAUUUAAAGAAAGCGUAAUAGCUCACUGGUCGAGUCGGCCUGCGCGGAAGAUGUAACGGGGCUAAACCAUGCACCGAAGCUGCGGCAGCGACACUAUGUGUUGUUGGGUAGGGGAGCGUUCUGUAAGCCUGUGAAGGUGUGCUGUGAGGCAUGCUGGAGGUAUCAGAAGUGCGAAUGCUGACAUAAGUAACGAUAAAGCGGGUGAAAAGCCCGCUCGCCGGAAGACCAAGGGUUCCUGUCCAACGUUAAUCGGGGCAGGGUGAGUCGACCCCUAAGGCGAGGCCGAAAGGCGUAGUCGAUGGGAAACAGGUUAAUAUUCCUGUACUUGGUGUUACUGCGAAGGGGGGACGGAGAAGGCUAUGUUGGCCGGGCGACGGUUGUCCCGGUUUAAGCGUGUAGGCUGGUUUUCCAGGCAAAUCCGGAAAAUCAAGGCUGAGGCGUGAUGACGAGGCACUACGGUGCUGAAGCAACAAAUGCCCUGCUUCCAGGAAAAGCCUCUAAGCAUCAGGUAACAUCAAAUCGUACCCCAAACCGACACAGGUGGUCAGGUAGAGAAUACCAAGGCGCUUGAGAGAACUCGGGUGAAGGAACUAGGCAAAAUGGUGCCGUAACUUCGGGAGAAGGCACGCUGAUAUGUAGGUGAAGUCCCUUGCGGAUGGAGCUGAAAUCAGUCGAAGAUACCAGCUGGCUGCAACUGUUUAUUAAAAACACAGCACUGUGCAAACACGAAAGUGGACGUAUACGGUGUGACGCCUGCCCGGUGCCGGAAGGUUAAUUGAUGGGGUCAGCGCAAGCGAAGCUCUUGAUCGAAGCCCCGGUAAACGGCGGCCGUAACUAUAACGGUCCUAAGGUAGCGAAAUUCCUUGUCGGGUAAGUUCCGACCUGCACGAAUGGCGUAAUGAUGGCCAGGCUGUCUCCACCCGAGACUCAGUGAAAUUGAACUCGCUGUGAAGAUGCAGUGUACCCGCGGCAAGACGGAAAGACCCCGUGAACCUUUACUAUAGCUUGACACUGAACAUUGAGCCUUGAUGUGUAGGAUAGGUGGGAGGCUUUGAAGUGUGGACGCCAGUCUGCAUGGAGCCGACCUUGAAAUACCACCCUUUAAUGUUUGAUGUUCUAACGUUGACCCGUAAUCCGGGUUGCGGACAGUGUCUGGUGGGUAGUUUGACUGGGGCGGUCUCCUCCUAAAGAGUAACGGAGGAGCACGAAGGUUGGCUAAUCCUGGUCGGACAUCAGGAGGUUAGUGCAAUGGCAUAAGCCAGCUUGACUGCGAGCGUGACGGCGCGAGCAGGUGCGAAAGCAGGUCAUAGUGAUCCGGUGGUUCUGAAUGGAAGGGCCAUCGCUCAACGGAUAAAAGGUACUCCGGGGAUAACAGGCUGAUACCGCCCAAGAGUUCAUAUCGACGGCGGUGUUUGGCACCUCGAUGUCGGCUCAUCACAUCCUGGGGCUGAAGUAGGUCCCAAGGGUAUGGCUGUUCGCCAUUUAAAGUGGUACGCGAGCUGGGUUUAGAACGUCGUGAGACAGUUCGGUCCCUAUCUGCCGUGGGCGCUGGAGAACUGAGGGGGGCUGCUCCUAGUACGAGAGGACCGGAGUGGACGCAUCACUGGUGUUCGGGUUGUCAUGCCAAUGGCACUGCCCGGUAGCUAAAUGCGGAAGAGAUAAGUGCUGAAAGCAUCUAAGCACGAAACUUGCCCCGAGAUGAGUUCUCCCUGAC
RNAcentral lists this ribosomal RNA (1946 nucleotides) under Escherichia coli. RNAcentral describes it as "partial 23S ribosomal RNA". It matches the Rfam family "Bacterial large subunit ribosomal RNA", at positions 890 to 2819 of the family's 2925-position model. The record is from RNAcentral. Lineage: Bacteria; Pseudomonadati; Pseudomonadota; Gammaproteobacteria; Enterobacterales; Enterobacteriaceae.